GACGAACGCUGGCGGCGUGCCUAAUACAUGCAAGUCGAGCGAGUCUGCCUUUAAGAUCGGAGUGCUUGCACUCUGUGAAACAAGAUACAGGCUAGCGGCGGACGGGUGAGUAACACGUGGGUAACCUGCCCAAGAGAUCGGGAUAACACCUGGAAACAGAUGCUAAUACCGGAUAACAACAGAUGAUGCCUAUCAACUGUUUAAAAGAUGGUUCUGCUAUCACUCUUGGAUGGACCUGCGGUGCAUUAGCUAGUUGGUAGGGUAACGGCCUACCAAGGCGAUGAUGCAUAGCCGAGUUGAGAGACUGAUCGGCCACAUUGGGACUGAGACACGGCCCAAACUCCUACGGGAGGCAGCAGUAGGGAAUCUUCCACAAUGGACGCAAGUCUGAUGGAGCAACGCCGCGUGAGUGAAGAAGGGUUUCGGCUCGUAAAGCUCUGUUGUUGGUGAAGAAGGACAGGGGUAGUAACUGACCUUUGUUUGACGGUAAUCAAUUAGAAAGUCACGGCCAACUAAGUG
Molecule: ribosomal RNA, 519 nt
Filed under: uncultured bacterium
Lineage: Bacteria
Description: partial 16S ribosomal RNA
Rfam family: Bacterial small subunit ribosomal RNA
Source: RNAcentral